Xyrichtys novacula (pearly razorfish) is the source of this 1127-nucleotide non-coding RNA. The record is from the annotation of a GenBank genome assembly. NCBI's taxonomy places the organism in Eukaryota, Metazoa, Chordata, Actinopteri, Labriformes, Labridae.
CUUCACAGUAUAUUAAGGAGUUUGUCACCUGAACUGUUAGAGAAGUAUAACUCACCUGUAGGAAGAAAAUCUUACAGAUAAAAACUUUCAUGUUUUUCUCUUUUAUUUAAACGUUUCUGACAUUAACCUGCUGAUCAACUUUUCCGCCUCAGUCAGAAACAGUGAAGUUUAUCUUACAUUACAGUAUCAAUAAAUAAAGGACAAAUACACUUUAAUAAAUAAACCAUACAAAUUAACAUUUAUAUGAUAAAUAACAGUGAUAAAUCUGUGUCAUACUUUUUAUAUGUUAUACAUUAAAUGUCCAUCAUUCGAAUUUGUAACAGGUCAAUGUUUGACAGGAAGGAGGAUGAAUAUAUGACAAAAUAAAUCACACAUAUAAAUAAUAAAAUCCAGCACACAGGUGUGAGGUGAGGUGUGAAUACUUCCCUCUACGUUAACAUUAAAUUUUCUUAGUAAAUAUAGUAAAAAUAACAACAAUAAUAAUAAACUCUAUCUCUGUAUUUACACCCUCCUCAUGUCGUGUUCAUACCAGAUGCAAACUAAUUUAUUUAUUUGCUUAAUUGGUGUGAAAUUAAAAGCUCAAAUGUGUAGACUGUAUAUAGUAUAAACAACUCUACCUCCUGCCUUUGUGAUGACACUUACAGUAACUACAUGUCAACAUCGCAAGCAGGGGGAGAAACAUUUAUAUUCUGUGUAAUAAAUUUCUAAAGUUUGUCCACAGCUCCAUAGGGAUUGCUGGAGGAGGCGGGAUUUAUGACCUAUACUGCAGCCUGUCACCAGAGGGUGCUGUUCUCAGAGUGGCUUCACCCAGCAAGGAGGCAGACGGUACACAUAAAUCAUCUGCACAAAUGCAUUUAUUUGCUCUGGUGUGAACACGACAUCAUGGUCAGACAUGAACACUACUGCCCCCUAGCUUUACUGAAGAACAGGACCUCUGUGUCUGACUGACAGACAGAGACAGCUGAAGGCACUGAAGGUAAAAGACAUAACAAAGUAAAGGUGGAGCUCUCCGUGUCAGUAUCAUUCAUAAUGAGUAGGUCUCCUUCACAGACUGUUUCACUACAUCUCUAAUAUCUAGAUUUCACUGCAUGCAGACAGCUGACAUUAAACUCUAAACAGCAGUGAAA